RNAcentral lists this ribosomal RNA (253 nucleotides) under uncultured bacterium. RNAcentral describes it as "partial 16S ribosomal RNA". It matches the Rfam family "Bacterial small subunit ribosomal RNA", at positions 524 to 776 of the family's 1533-position model. The record is from RNAcentral.
UACGGAGGGUGCAAGCGUUGUCCGGAUUUAUUGGGUUUAAAGGGUGCGUAGGCGGUCAACUAAGUCAGAGGUGAAAGGCAGCAGCUCAACUGUUGCACUGCCAUUGAUACUGGAUGACUUGAGUACAGACGAGGUAGGCGGAAUUUAUGGUGUAGCGGUGAAAUGCAUAGAUACCAUAAAGAACACCGAUUGCGAAGGCAGCUUACUAGGCUGUAACUGACGCUGAGGCACGAAAGCGUGGGGAUCGAACAGG